Non-coding RNA from Pseudophryne corroboree (corroboree frog), 127 nucleotides. RefSeq annotates it as small Cajal body-specific RNA 8. The transcript has a single exon. Lineage: Eukaryota; Metazoa; Chordata; Amphibia; Anura; Myobatrachidae. The record is from RefSeq and is a predicted model, not a curated record.
UGGGAGACUGAUACACAGAUAGAUGUCCUGUUCUGUUCUGUUCUGGCUCUCCCUAGAUUAAUAGUGCUUUUUGAUGACCGUAACGAAAUGAGAGAAAUCGUGACGAACCGAUAUGGAGCAAACACUU